GAGACUCAACGAUCUGCAUGGUGCUAUGA
This 29-nucleotide small RNA is filed under the name Bombyx mori (domestic silkworm). RNAcentral's name for it is "ovarian small RNA-15695". Lineage: Eukaryota; Metazoa; Arthropoda; Insecta; Lepidoptera; Bombycidae. The record is from RNAcentral.